This 497-nucleotide ribosomal RNA is filed under the name uncultured bacterium. RNAcentral's name for it is "partial 16S ribosomal RNA". It matches the Rfam family "Bacterial small subunit ribosomal RNA", at positions 28 to 507 of the family's 1533-position model. The record is from RNAcentral.
GAUGAACGCUGGCGGCGUGCCUAACACAUGCAAGUCGAGCGAACAGACGAGGUGCUUGCUCCUUUGACGUUAGCGGCGGACGGGUGAGUAACACGUGGAUAACCUACCUAUAAGACUGGGAUAACUUCGGGAAACCGGAGCUAAUACCGGAUAAUAUAUUGAACCGCAUGGUUCAAUAGUGAAAGACGGGUUUGCUGUCACUUAUAGAUGGAUCCGCGCCGCAUUAGCUAGUUGGUAAGGUAACGGCUUACCAAGGCAACGAUGCGUAGCCGACCUGAGAGGGUGAUCGGCCACACUGGAACUGAGACACGGUCCAGACUCCUACGGGAGGCAGCAGUAGGGAAUCUUCCGCAAUGGGCGAAAGCUUGACGGAGCAACGCCGCGUGAGUGAUGAAGGUCUUCGGAUCGUAAAACUCUGUUAUUAGGGAAGAACGAAUGUGUAAGUAACUAUGCACGUCUUGACGGUACCUGAUCAGAAAGCCACGGCUAACUACGUG